This 78-nucleotide ribosomal RNA is filed under the name Caerostris extrusa. The record is from RNAcentral. Lineage: Eukaryota; Metazoa; Arthropoda; Arachnida; Araneae; Araneidae.
UACGUUCACCGAAGUCAAGCAUCAUUGGGCGCGGUCAGUACUUGGGUGGGUGACCACCUGGGAACACCGCGUGCCGUU